GACGAACGCUGGCGGCGUGCUUAACACAUGCAAGUCGAACGGAAAGGCCUGCUUUCCCUUGUGGAUUGCGGGUACUCGAGUGGCGAACGGGUGAGUAACACGUGAGUGAUCUGCCCCCAACUUGGGUAUAAGCCUGGGAAACUGGGUCUAAUUCCCGAUAGGACUGCAGGGUGGUGCCUGUGGUGGAAAACGAUUUUCUAGUGGUUGGGGAUGAGCUCGCGGCCUAUCAGCUUGUUGGUGGGGUAAUGGCCUACCAAGGCGGCGACGGGUAGCCGGCCUGAGAGUGUGGACCGCGUCAGUGAGACUGAGCAGCGGCCCAGACUCCGAGGGGAGGCAGCAGCUGGGAAGAGAAGAAGAAGGGGGGAAGCCUGAGGCAGCGACGCAGCGUGGACGCUGACGGGCCGCGGGUUGUAUGCACCUUUCGGGCGCGAGGAAUCCUCCUGGUUGGGAGGGUGGUGACGGUAGUGGUAGAAGAAGCACCGGCUAACUACGUG
Molecule: ribosomal RNA, 494 nt
Filed under: uncultured bacterium
Lineage: Bacteria
Description: partial 16S ribosomal RNA
Rfam family: Bacterial small subunit ribosomal RNA
Source: RNAcentral